AAGCCAGAUGUCUCCUGGGCCGGUGUGCACCUGUGUAAAGAUCAUGCUGUUAAUUACCUUCUUGAUUUGCCACACCUGUCAGAUGGAUGGAUUAUUUCAGCAACAAAGAAAUACUCACUAAGAGGGAUGUACACAAAUUUGUGCAUAUGUGUGCUGGAGUCAAAGCAGAUCCCUACCAGCUGCAACUUGUUCCAUAAGAAAUACCUCUACAAAUACUCUGUCCUGCCACUUCCACUCUGCCAGACUGUAAUCUCUGCUCAUUACCGCUCUGUCUCUGGCUCCUGUUCCACAUCUCAUCACCCAACUACCUUGCUCUGGAUUUUACUCACCACUACCUUGGAUUCCCCUCAGGACCUGUUUACCCUGUUCUACUCAGCUAACUCCAACCUCAGUCUCCACAUCUGUUUUUUCUAAAAACUCAUCCGAACUUCCCCGAAACUGAACUCUAUAUCUCCCUGUGUAACAAUAAAUAUUUUGGUCCAUUUACCGCUUAACAAUCCACUGCACGGG
Long non-coding RNA from Oncorhynchus keta (chum salmon), 510 nucleotides. RefSeq lists it as uncharacterized. The record is from RefSeq and is a predicted model, not a curated record. The transcript is spliced from 3 exons. NCBI's taxonomy places the organism in Eukaryota, Metazoa, Chordata, Actinopteri, Salmoniformes, Salmonidae.